GCCCCGGUAGCUCAGCGGGUAGAGCGCCGGCCUUGUAAGCCGGAGGACCCGGGUUCGAAGCCCGGCCGGGGCUCCA
This 76-nucleotide transfer RNA is filed under the name Thermoprotei archaeon. Its description in RNAcentral is "tRNA-Thr". It matches the Rfam family "tRNA". Rfam says of the family: Transfer RNA (tRNA) molecules are approximately 80 nucleotides in length. Lineage: Archaea; Thermoproteati; Thermoproteota; Thermoprotei. The record is from RNAcentral.